RNAcentral lists this ribosomal RNA (888 nucleotides) under uncultured bacterium. Its description in RNAcentral is "bacterial SSU rRNA". It matches the Rfam family "Bacterial small subunit ribosomal RNA", at positions 19 to 906 of the family's 1533-position model. The record is from RNAcentral.
AUGGCUCAGAAUCAUCGCGGACGGCGUGCCUAACACAUGCAAGUCGAACGAGAAAGUGGGGGCAACUCCAUGAGUAAAGUGGCAGACGGGUGAGUAACACGUGAACAACCUACCCUCGAGUGUGGAAUAACACCGCGAAAGCGGUGCUAAUACCGCAUAACAUCUUUAGGUCGCAUGAUCUGAAGAUCAAAAGCGCAGGUUGCUUGAGGAGGGGUUCGCGCCUGAUUAUCUAGUUGGUGAGGUAACGGCCCACCAAGGCAACGAUCAGUAGCCGGCCUGAGAGGGCGAACGGCCACACUGGAACUGAGACACGGUCCAGACUCCUACGGGAGGCAGCAGUGGGGAAUUUUGCGCAAUGGGCGAAAGCCUGACGCAGCAACGCCGCGUGGAGGAUGAAGGCCUUCGGGUCGUAAACUCCUGUCGAUGGGGAAGAAUGCUUCGCAAGAAGUUUGACUGUACCCGUUGAGGAAGCCACGGCUAACUCCGUGCCAGCAGCCGCGGUAAUACGGAGGUGGCAAGCGUUGUUCGGAAUUACUGGGCGUAAAGGGCGCGUAGGCGGCUUUGCAAGUCAGAUGUGAAAGCCCCGGGCUUAACCCGGGAAUUGCAUCUGAAACUGCUUUGCUUGAGUCCUGGAUGGGGUAGUGGAAUUCCCAGUGUAGCGGUGAAAUGCGUAGAUAUUGGGAGGAACACCUGCGGCGAAGGCGGCUACCUGGACAGUGACUGACGUUGAGGCGCGAAAGCUAGGGGAGCGAACGGGAUUAGAUACCCCGGUAGUCCUAGCUGUAAACGAUGGGCACUUGGUGUUGGGGGUAUUGAGUCCCUCGGUGCCGGAGUUAACACGUUAAGUGCCCCGCCUGGGGAGUACGGUCGCAAGACUGAAACUCAAAG